GCGCAGCAGUCGAGAAUCCUCCGCGAUGCUCGAAAGAGCGACGGGGGGACUCCAAGUGCCUACGCUCAGCGUAGGCUGUUCCCGAGCCUAAAAAGCUCGGGGAGUAAGGGCUGGGUAAGACGGGUGCCAGCCGCCGCGGUAAUACCCGCAGCCCGAGUGGUGGCCGCUAUUAUUGGGCCUAAAGCGUCCGUAGCCGGCUCGGUAAAUGCCUGGGUAAAUCGUCUGGCCCAACCAGACGAAUUCCGGGUAGACUGCCGGGCUAGGGACCGGAGGAGGGAGAGGGUACUCCAGGGGUAGGGGUGAAAUCAGCAAGGUGAGUUGCUGAUGUAACUUGCCUUGCAAGUCACAAUCCUGUAAUCCCUGGAGGACCACCGGUGGCGAAGGCGCUCUCCUAGGACGGGUCCGACGGUGAGGGACGAAAGCCAGGGGAGCAAACCGGAUUAGAUACCGGU
Molecule: ribosomal RNA, 452 nt
Filed under: uncultured microorganism
Description: bacterial SSU rRNA
Rfam family: Archaeal small subunit ribosomal RNA
Source: RNAcentral